CAAAGGAUUUUCCUUGAGCCGUGACAUUCGGUGCUGGAUAAAGGACAUGUCCUUUAUCCAGCACCGAAUGUCACGGCUCAAGGAAAAUCCUUUGU
Molecule: non-coding RNA, 95 nt
Organism: Paramuricea clavata
Lineage: Eukaryota; Metazoa; Cnidaria; Anthozoa; Malacalcyonacea; Plexauridae
Source: the annotation of a GenBank genome assembly